CAGAGAUCAACAAGACAGCUGCUGCCCUCCUGAGGCUUAUAAGAAGAGGAGCAUCUCAUACAUCCAUGGCUGGACAUGCAAUUUCUUUGGAAUAGGAUGGAGGUACAGUGGAAUUGAAGAUGAUGAGGGUAGAGAUCUGAGAUGAUCAAGGACCCCGGACAGGACACAGGAAUGGGAAGCAGCACUGAGAUGCUACUAAGGUGACACCAUGUGUUACCACCUUGGCUGUAGCUUCUCUCCCAUGGGUGACAUUCAGUCCCUGGUACUGGACUGGCUGGAUCUGAAGGAAAGCACUGGGAAAGGGAGCUGUCGAGUGAGUGAGACUGUGCUUGAAGAACGGGACUGCACAUGAUGUUGGUGAUUGCUUUGGAUUUGCUGAAUCAAUGAAUAAAUGGGAGGUGUUAUAGUGCAAUGGUUAAAGUGAAACACCUUCGGUCCAAAAUGCGGCUCUACUGCUUACUGCUACUCAUAGUAUCUGCCUUGUAGGGUUGUGGAGAUGGCUGGCUGAGAUGAUGCAUAUAAACCACAUCGUCCAGGGCCUGGCAUGGAGAAGAGUUAACAGUAGUUCUUACCAUCCUCACAGACCAUGGCAGAUAGGAGCUGACUGAUGGAGGAUUCUAACCAGGAAGGGGCCAGUGUAGAGCCUGCAAAGAGAAUACCUCAUGGACAGCUGAUAAGUGAGUGAGUGUGUUGGGGAAGACUGCAGAGGCACCUCUGAGAAGACCUGCACCGGAGCUGGAGGCUGCACCCCCAUGUCCCUGGCUCCACCCUUCCUCCAAGCCUCAGCUUCCGUGCUGUGCUUGCCCAUCCGCUGGUGCUCUUCUGAGCUGCCCUGAGCACACAGCCUGCUGGGAACUCCUACACCUGCUUGCUGGCUUGGCCACGGCUCCUGGGAUCUGGGAGACAAAGCCUUUUUGUAACCUGUUUGGAGAUAUCAGUGCCACUGUCCAGUGAGUCAGGGACCCAAAUGGCCACAAAUGAUGAAGAGGAGAGUUCUCAGAUGGAAGAAGACGAUGUAUUUCAACCACUUAAAGUCCUGCCACUUGAAGCCGGCGAGGACAAAGAGAGAAUCGCGCUCGUACUGCUCAGGCCGCUGCAUGGCGCCCUCGGGAGGCUCUGAGGAUCCUGGUCAUGGUCUAUGUGUAAUAUCAAAGCAAACAUGGUCCCUGGAUAAGCCUGCACCAAGAACCUCUUCUUCUGUGUCACGACUGAGCUUAUAAAAUUUCUGGAAAGUUUCUCUCAGAGUCAAGCUUGGACAGGAUUUUAUCUGCUUUCCAAUAUGUACUAGAUGUCAUAUGCUAAUAAAAUAUGCCUAAGAUCUAGCCAAAU
RNAcentral lists this long non-coding RNA (1329 nucleotides) under Homo sapiens (human). RNAcentral describes it as "HSALNT0005953". Lineage: Eukaryota; Metazoa; Chordata; Mammalia; Primates; Hominidae. The record is from RNAcentral.